Zootermopsis nevadensis is the source of this 912-nucleotide non-coding RNA. The record is from RefSeq and is a predicted model, not a curated record. NCBI's taxonomy places the organism in Eukaryota, Metazoa, Arthropoda, Insecta, Blattodea, Termopsidae.
ACUGUGGUGAACAUUCAUAAACAUUUGUGUGCUGUGUAUGGAAGCUGUGUAGUCGAUAGGAGCACCGUUGGUCGCUGGGCUGCGAGAUUUAGAGCUUACAAGUUGAUGGGGGACUAUGUAGAAAAAUAGUUGGAUGCAGCUCUCAUUCGUCCAGGCAGAGUUGAUUUGAAGGAGUUCAUCGGUUACUGUAGCCACGAACAAUUGGAAUUAAUGUUCCUUCGUUUCUAUCGGAGUGAAGGGUCAGCAGCUCUUUCAGCAUCAUUUGCAGACUCUGUUCUUAAAUUUAAUAAAGCUGUUAGUCCUGCCCAGAUUCAAGGAUAUUUCAUGCUUUAUAAAGAAAAUGAACAAGAAGUUCUUAAAAAUGUGGCAAAAAUAUGGACGCAAUCUUAGGAGUCGGUGAUAGUGCAUACAUUUUCUUACAUUCUAUAAUGUAGACUGUGAACCUGCAGUACGUUGUCAGUUUUAAUAAAAUUGAGUCUUAGGGAUUAUUGUGUAAGAUUUGAGGCUUUCACAGCGGUGAGUAUGAAGAUUUCCGUCUUCUGGGUUAUUGCGCUGUGUAGUCUGGUCGAAGUUAACCAACGUUGCAGAGGUCAUACUGCCUCCGUCAUCAGCGCCCAGAAGACGGAAAUCUUUUUAGGGAUUAUUUUAAUCGCAGUCAGCCCUUUUUUCUUCGCCCCUCAUUGAUAUUUUUACUACACAGUUCAGCGACAAAUCGUGUCGAAAGAGGUAGUCAUUCUACCUUAGAUUCGUUUUGAAUCGAGGUUACGUGUGUUAAUAUUAUUAUAUGUCCAUAUAUUGUAUGACUUAGGAGCCGAUGGACAGAAAUUAUCAGUAAUAAUUUUUUUAUCGGGUCAUAAACAUGAUUUUUCUGUAGGACGUUACAAAUAAAGGAUCUGACAACGAAAAUAAUUA